This 203-nucleotide long non-coding RNA is filed under the name Lathyrus oleraceus (garden pea). RNAcentral's name for it is "Pisum sativum (pea) long non-coding RNA (PSAT_LNC002895)". Lineage: Eukaryota; Viridiplantae; Streptophyta; Magnoliopsida; Fabales; Fabaceae. The record is from RNAcentral.
AAACUUGUUCUUCCUAUUUUUCAAGUAUGUACCUUUCCUUUCAAUGUAUUAUUUAAAAAAAAAAAAUAUGAUUUAAGUUAAGUCCCGAGUGUGAAAAUUUUCGUAUUAUCUAUUCCCCUCGAUUUUCUUAAGCCAUAACAAAAAUUUAACACACUCAGUAAGUAUAAAGGUUGCUUAUUUUAUAAAACUUGAGUGAAAUCAAG